ACGUGGACAAUCUCGCCCCCCGGCCCGGGAUAGACCCAGGGAAACCUGGAUUAAUACCGGAUGAGACGGGACCCGCGAAGGCGGGACCCGGGAAAGGCGCUGCGGCGCCGCCGGGGGAUGAGUCUGCGUCCCAUUAGCUAGACGGCGGGGUAACGGCCCACCGUGGCGACGAUGGGUAGCCGGGCCUGAGAGGGUGGACGGCCACAUUGGAACUGAGACACGGUCCAGACCCCUACGGGAGGCAGCAGCUAAGAAUCUUCCGCAAUGGGCGAAAGCCUGACGGAGCGAACCGCCGCGUGAACGAAGAAGGCCGUGAGGUUGUAAAGUUCUUUUCGGGAGGGGGGAACAACCGUGGCAGGGAAUGGCCGCGGGAUGACGUGAAUCCCGGAAUAAGCCCCGGCUAACUACGUGCCAGCAGCCGC
This 422-nucleotide ribosomal RNA is filed under the name uncultured bacterium. RNAcentral describes it as "bacterial SSU rRNA". It matches the Rfam family "Bacterial small subunit ribosomal RNA", at positions 115 to 518 of the family's 1533-position model. The record is from RNAcentral.